UGACUGAACCACCCAAGUGGCCCCCAUUCAUUUUUUUUUUUUAAACAAAGUUUAUUGAAUCUUCUUCUGAGGGAAAAAAGCAAAACAUUCAUGGUAGAUCACCUAGAAAACACAGAGAUGUAAAAUUCAGAAAUUUUCCUAGAAUGUCACCACCCAGAUAUACUGCUGACAUUUUUUAAAAAGAAUACUUUUUAUUUUAGAUUUGUAUUUACAGGCAAGUUGCAAAAAUGGUACAGAGAGUUCCUCUAAAUCCACAUCCAGUUUAUCCUAAUUUUAAUAGUUUACAUUUGUAGGGUCCAUUUGUUACAAACAAUGAAAGCAAUAGUAUACAUUAUUGUUUAUGAAAAGCCACACUUUAUUCACAUUCCUUUGUUUUUGCCUAAUGUCCCCCUUUCUGUUCCGGGAUCCCAUCUAGGACACCACCUUACAUUUAGUUGUCAUGUCUCCUUAGACUCCUCUAGACUGUCAGUUUCUCAGACUUUCCUUGUUUUUGUGACCUUGAUGGUGUCAAGGAGUCCUGGUCUGGUAUUUUGUAGCGUGUCCUUCGUUUUGAGAGGGUCUGAUGUUUUUCCUGUGAUUCGACAGGGAUUAAGGUUUUGGGGACGUUGAGGUAAAGUAUCAUUCUCAUCCUUUUGAAGAUACACGCUCUCAUCAUGACCUAGUGUUUGUUCAUUUUAUCCUUGUCCGUUGGCCGAGGCAGUGUUAGUCUCUGCUGUAAAGUUACUCAAUCCCCUUUCCAUACUGUAUUUGGAAGGAAGACCCUAGCUCUGGCAUUUUCACAGAUGGCCUUCCAGUCUCAACCUUUCCCCUCUCCCACGACAUGAAAGCAAAAUCCCAACGGGCACUUGUGAAUUCCUGACCCCUAUGGGUCUUGUCAGAAGCUGGAAUCUGGGUUCUAGCCUUGACACUUUUAUUUUCGUCAUUUCUGGAAAUCUCAGACGUAGGCACGUAUGACCAUUUUGCACGUGUCUGUGCCUUAGUUUCAUCAAUGAAAACCAAGCUGUUGAGUACUUCCUAUGUGCCAGUCCCGGUGCUAAACGCAUUCCAUGCCUUAUUAAUCCGCAGAUGACCCUGUGACAGGGAUGAUGUUACUGUCUUCAUGUUAUGGAUGAGAAAACUCUGACGUGCGGAAGUGAAGCAAGCUGCCCGGGGUCACACGGCUUGCAAAUGGCAGAGCUGGAAUUCAGACCUUGGUCUGUGACCUCAGGACUCAGCACUAAACCAUGCACAUCUGGUUACGGGCAGUCACAGAGAAGGGGGGUUCCGGGUGCAGGCUCAGGAGUUUCAAUCAUAGCUUUCCAUUUACUAGCUGUGUGGCCUUGGGUAAGUCUCUUCGUGCCUCAGUUUUCUUAUCUGUUCAGUGGGGACAACAACAUCUUCCAGACGGGACUGUUGUGAGGCUUAGAUUACUUAAAAAAAAAAAAAAAAAAAAAAGCUUGGCCCAGGGUAGGCAGUCAGUGAGGGCUAUUAUUAUUGCUAUUACUGUGGUAUUUUUUUCAUUUGCCCACCCAUCCAUCCAUCCAUCCAUCCAUCCUGGAAAAACCCUGCCUGCUCUGGGCCCCAGUUUCCCAUCUAUAGUGGGUGUUGAACCACUAUGGACCCUUCUGGCAAACUGGUAAAACAAGACAAAACAUAGGAUCACAAAGGAAACUAUACUGAAAUAAAGCUAUCAAAAUAUUAAAGCAAAUUUGUGGUAUAUGUGUUUAUUUAGUAACACAUAAAACAAGAUCUACAAUUUUGAUGUGCUAGUGUUCGCACACACACACACACACACACACACACACACACAUCACACACUAGAUUAGUGCUGCGAUGACUAAUGAGCGAUGAGAAAACCUGUCAGUUUUAGUGACAAAACCUUAGAUACUCCGCAUUCUACUGUGGUUUGAUGCCUGCGUUCAAGAUAGGGAAAAAAAACGCUAAAUUUCAGUUAUAGAUGUGUGAACAUUUUUUCCUUCAGUCCAAGUUCGCAGAUGGCUGAAUUGUUAACACGGACCCCAGAUUAAGAACGGAGUUGGAGGAUGCCUGGGGUUCCUUCCAGCUCUCACAAGUAUGUUUCAGAGACUCUGGCUGGCAGAACCCACGGAGCCUUUGCCCUCAUCGAUCAGCUCAGCGGCUGCUGCUGCAGAUCUAUUGACCCAGCCCUUUGUGUUCAAGAAGCAACCCGCCUUUCUCUUGUUAACCCCUGCUAGUCUGGCCCCACGCAGGAUGUGCUCCGGGCUCGGCACUAGGUCCAGGCGGAUGUCAGGAGGAGGGUGGCACCCCGUGGAUGAAGGGCACCCACCAAAAGCCAGCGGCUAUGCUGGGUCCUCUCAUCUCAAGGUUUGGCUCACCGCAUCAGCCGGCAGCAAAGGAGCUAGACUUCAAGCCUCGGGCUUGUCUGGACUUCAAAUGCUGUGUUCUCUUCAGAGGACCAGAAGCCUGUAUCCCUGCUUCACGGCACAGGUGGGUUUGGGGACUUUUCCACCCCAAGAUCCAUACAUAACCAUCCCCGUUCCCCAUCUCUUCUCUCUCUCUCACACACACAAACACACACACACACACACACACACACACACACACACACACACGCUCCUUCAGAUUCACAUACAGGUUAGGGCUGGUCUCACCCAGCAUGAGAAGGAGCCAUAGACUCAAGUUUUGGGGUGCUGGGAAGGUGGCAAAGGACUUCCCUUCCUGAAAGUCUCCAAUUUUCAGCCUCUGGCAGUCUGUAUUGUCAUCACUAACAACCCAUAUCUGGGGGUUAAGCAUUGCCCCGCCCCCCCCCCCCCCCGCCCCCGCCCCCGCCCGGGUUUUUGUCUUCUGAUAUCUAAGGAAGUGUUAAUUCUUCUGGCCUUAAAGCCUUUCUUAGAGUUUGUGCAGGGAGCAGGGCAUAGGCCCUGAAGGGGAGGCCACAGGGUCUGACUGCCGGAGACCCUGCCAGAGCUGUGCUAAGACAUUCAGCAAACUCUCUGAUUCAGUUCAAUCCAACAGGCAUUUUACGGAGCCAUCUGUUACUCACACUGGGCAGGUGGAGAUGAGUCAGGUACAGCCCCUGUCUCGGGGUAAAAGUCUGGCAAAGGCAAUGACUACAGAGGAGAACCCAAAAUAUGGUGUCAGAGAGAUUAUGAUGAUGACAUAUGCACAGAGCUAGGCUGCGCAGAGCAGUUUGCUGACAUGUGGGCUCUGGAAGGGAAAUGAAAUGCACUGACCGUCUACGGAGGUCUGGAAGGUGGAGUCCGUCCGAGCGUGGGAGGAAGAGGGAAGGAACGGCACCCCGGGCAGGGUCGGGGGCCAGCGUGGGUGAAAGGCCAGGUGUGAUUAUGUGACAGUCUUGCUGAUGGGCACUGUCUUCGUCUGCUCAGGCUGCCAUUACAACACGCUGGUGGCUUAAACAACUUCUCACCGUUCUGGAGGCUAGAGGUCUGAGAUCAAGGCGCUGGCUGGUUGGUUUCCGCUGAGGCCUUUCGCCUUGGCUUGCACAUGGCCGCCAUCUCCUGGUGUCUUCGCGUGAUCUCUCUGUGAGAGUCUGUGUGUCCUUGACUCUUCUUUAUGAAGACAGCAGUCUUACUGGGUGAGGGCCCACCAUAUGGCCUCAUUUUAUCUGAAUCACCUCUUUAGAGACCCUGUCUCCAAACACGGGUAGUUGAAUUUGAGGUAUUGAGGUUAGGACUUGGACAAAUGAAUUUUGGAGCGGAACGCAAUUCAGCCGGUAACAGGAGUUGGCGGUGGAACGCGGAGAAAUGGGCCUGGGUGGCAGGGGAGGUGGGGGUGGGCGGAGUCAGAUCAGGAAAGGCCUCGACCUUCAGGGUUGGGCUUCACAGGUCAGAACUUGAAGAUGCCCGCACCUGCUCUGGCCUCGGAGGCCAGCUGCAAAGAGAAAGCAUCUCCUCUUCCUGUCCCCUAAGGAAAUGCUGGGAUUGGUGAGAUUGCACAGGCCCACUUCCCUCAGGGCUGGUCACUGGGGCCACGCCCCAAGGAGGGGCCAGGAGGGGCUCUCUGCCCCGCCCCGUAGGAGCCCUGCCCAGCCGGGUGGGUUCCAGCAUCAUAUCUAGACAUCUGUGCCCUUGGGACUUCCUAGGCUGAGACACAAAUGGUGGUGUUGCUUCUACUUCCUGUGCUGGAGCACUGGGGCUUGGGGCAUUGGACCACUUCAGAAGACUGCUUCCUACCCUGAGGCUGCCAUGUUCUGAGGAAGCCAAGCCGUGUGGGGAGACUACACGUAGGCACUCUGUUGUUAGUCCAUCCUGAGCCUACCCAGGCAGGGCACCUGACGUGCAAGGGAAUGGUUCCUAGAAGAUUCCAGCCUCCAGCUGUCCAAUCACGCCUCACCUCCAGAUCUACCCAGUUGAAGCCCCGACAUCAUGGGACAGAGACAAGUCAUCCCUCGGGUCACCUGUGCACUCUGCGCCCUGUCCAAAUCCCUGACCCAUGGAGUACAGGUGCAUAAUAAAAUGACUGUUGCAAGGUGCUAAGUUUGGGGAUCGUUUGUUACCCUGAUAAUAACUAGUGAGAAGUGCCUGGACCUGGGAAGGCAGAGUUAAGCCUUCUCACUAGUUGGGAAAUGGCAAGAGAAUCUCCUUUCCUGAGCCCACUGCUGCUCCCCGGCCCUGCCGUCACCUCAUCCUUGCUCCUUUCUUCAGACCUGCUCUGAUCUGUUUUAGGCCAGUUGUCAACUAAUUAAUUCUCUGCUUCUGCAUCACCUCCAAAACAAAAGGCAUCUCCUGUAAGGGUGUGAUUCCUCCCACACAUCUUUGCCUCCCUAUCAGAGCCUCCUGAAGAGGGAAGCACAUGGACUAUCUUCAAGUACAGUCUCGUAUGUGCAAGAAAAAUGUAUAGCCCGGCCCCCAGCACACUCAAGAGAUGUUUGUAACAAAAUGCUGUCACUCAGUCUCUGCAACCAAUGGUGUUGGGGAAACUGGACAGUCACAUGCAAAAGAAUGAAAUUGGACCACUUUCUUACACCAUCCACAAAAAUGAUGAAAGACCUAAAGGUGAGACCUGAAACCAUAAAAAUCCUAGAAGAGAGCACAGGCAGGAAUUUCUUUGACAUAAGCCAUAGCAACAUUUUUCUAGAUAUGUCUGCUGAGGCAAGGGAAACAAAAGCAAAAAGAAAGUAUUAAGACAUCAAAAUAAAGGGUUUCUGCGCAGUGAAGGAAACAAUCAAAAAACUACAAGGCAACCUAUACCAUGGGAGAAGGUAUUUGCAAAUGACAGAUCUGAUCAAAGGUUAGUAUCCAAAAUACAUAAAGAACUGAUACAA
Molecule: long non-coding RNA, 5242 nt
Organism: Felis catus (domestic cat)
Lineage: Eukaryota; Metazoa; Chordata; Mammalia; Carnivora; Felidae
Exons: 3
Source: RefSeq, a predicted model, not a curated record